This is a non-coding RNA of Lonchura striata (white-rumped munia), 2223 nucleotides long. The record is from RefSeq and is a predicted model, not a curated record. Lineage: Eukaryota; Metazoa; Chordata; Aves; Passeriformes; Estrildidae.
GUCUCCUGCAAGGACACACACAGGGCACGGCUGCCUCAGGGCUCAGCUUCUGUGGUUUUCAGGUUCUGGGCUGCCUUAGGGUGCAGCUCGGAGCUGCACGUUAAGUGUUGUGGGCUCUCUGCACAGAGCAGGGAGACAAAACAAUUCCUGCUCUAGCUGGGGACCGAGGACAACCACACAAAUCUCAGACCCAAGGGCACAAACAGUGUGGAAUGAAGAGAGGAAAACAAGGAGGAUGGGACUGCAUAACCUAGAGCUGGAAUUGGACAAUUAACCCCAAUAUGCAAAUGGAGCAGAACUGAUCAAACUCUCCUGGUGCGACCUGAGGCUGUUUGCUGUCCCCUGAUGGGCAGCAGGGCUCAGGGCAGCUCUGAGGGCAGUGCCAGGAGCCUGGUGAAGCACUCACCCCUUUGCUGAUGUACCCUGCCAGCAGCAGGGCUCCGAUGAUGAUGAGGAAGGUCCCGAUCAUGAAGAGCACCACAGCCAGCGCGAUGGCCUUGUAGGGGAUUUUGGGUGGGCUCUUCUUGAACUGGAUGGAAAAAGCCAAAUACUGAACAGCUGAACUCGGCACAGAUGGGACCCCACAGCUGGCACAGCUGGCACGGGACAGAAUUCUGCUGCAGAAUUGCCCUCCAGGAGGAGUUCUGCCCAUGGAGGCCCUGCUGAGCCAGCCCCUUCUCCCAGCCUUGUUCCCAGGAAGGCUCUUUGCGAUUUCCAGAGGGGAAGGGCUGAGGGUUUGGCUCCCUCCAGGCUUCGCCCCUGCCUGAGCUGCAGCUGCUCCACCAGAGAUGCAGAGAAGCAGCUGCCUGUGCAAGGCCAAGCUGAGGCUGCCCAUCCUCGUGGUUUCCCAGCUUCCUUGCCCAGUUUUUACCUGCAGGUCGAUGUAUCCAUCGUCGGUGCUGGAGAGCUUGGAAUAUUUCACUUUGCUGCUGGGGAUGCCAGCAGAGAGAUUGGUCCGUGAUGGCAUUGUGCCAGGGGGGCCUGGGCAUCAGCUACAGCCUGGCAACCGGGGCAGGAGGAGAGAAAACAGUGCUGGGAGUCUGAGAGACACACAACUGAAGUUUCUCGAGAGAAACUCCCCUGCCAAGGCUGUGCCACCCAAAACCAGCCCUGUUCCCCUUGGCGAAUUAAAGCUUUUCCCACAGAGGGUCUAAGCAUUUCAUUUGAAGCCUGAAAUACAAAAUGGAUAGAACUGCAACAAUGUCUGGAAUCAAGGUAGAGCCUGUGUCUAAAACCAGAUGGAAAUUUGGAAAUUCCUGGGCAGGGCCCAGGGUAUGACCCAGCUCUCACUCCACCAGGAGCUCCAGAACAAGAUGUCCAAGCUCUGGCUGUUUCUGAACACGACACCAGCAAAUAAACCUAAACCAGAGCUGAACAAAGCAGCUUUUCAACCAGCACGAUAUUUUGCAAGAGAGCAAUUUUGGGAAAGAAAAAACAAACAAAAAACCAACGCAAACCACUAUAAACUGGGAUGAAAUGGAGGUGUCGUGGGGACAGCAGGAGUGACUCAGGCAGCAGGACAAGGGGACAGUGUGAGUGCUGAGGUCACCAAGGCCAGGUGUGCAGAGCAGGCUCCCCGUGCAGGGGGGACACCCUGGGGACAGGGCUCAGAGCCAGCUGCUGCCCCUCGGGGCUGCCCAGGGACCCAUCCUGCCGAGCUCCCCCUGCCUCUGCCCCAGCAGGACCCGGAUUCCCAGGGCACAGGCAGGGAAGGGCUCCCCACACCUCCCAAAGCCUCAAUGGAGCUUUUAUUUCCUGAGAAAGUUGGGAACCAAGGGAACAAAAGCAGAUAUUCCAGCGGUGCCAACAGGAAGGGAUAAAAACUCUGUUUCCACAACACUGUUCAGCAUCAGAGGUGAUGCAUCCACUCAAAAUAUUGUCUCCACUUCAGCUGAAGCCCUUUGUCACUAAUUGCUGGCACAUUCCCCAUCCACCUUCGCUCCUCCUGCUGUAAAAUUGGCUUUUAUAAAAUCCCCUCUGAUCUGAAAUUUCCAUCACUGAACCUGUGGUUUGAACUUUGGGCUUUUGUUUUAGUGGCAAAAAACAGACACGGACCAAACAUUUUCAGCCCCGUGGAUAAUGGAAACACCUGCAGGGUGGCAUUUCCUGCUCCCCACACAUCCUUGUUGACCCACACACCCCUCCACAUGCCCGAGGGCAGAUGUUCAGGAGGAGAAAAAGCCAGAAUAAACCAAGCUUUCUGAAAAAUGCUAGAUUUCCCAA